UUGACAGCUCUGGAGACUGUGUAAUGGCAAAAGAGGUACGGAGGUAGCAGCAGCAGUAAUGUAUGUUUCCUUACCUUGUCCUGUGCCAAUGUGCCUUAACCAUGACCUGGAGGGAAAAUAGCUUGGGAUGAGAGGAUAGUUCAGUCUCCAUGGUUAUGCACUCCUGUUUAGAC
Molecule: small RNA, 173 nt
Filed under: Chrysemys picta bellii (western painted turtle)
Lineage: Eukaryota; Metazoa; Chordata; Testudines; Emydidae
Description: TUC338 (ENSCPBG00000008200.1)
Source: RNAcentral